CCUACGGGUGGCAGCAGUGAGGAAUAUUGGUCAAUGGCCGGAAGGCUGAACCAGCCAUGCCGCGUGAAGGUCAGUGCCCUAUGGGCGUUAAACUUCUUUUGUGCGGGAGCAAUAAUGGUCACGUGUGGCCAGACGAGAGUACCGUACGAAUAAGCAUCGGCUAACUCCGUGCCAGCAGCCGCGGUAAUACGGGGGGUGCAAGCGUUAUCCGGAUUUAUUGGGUUUAAAGGGUGCGUAGGCUGUGAGGUAAGUCAGCGGUGAAAUGCCCCCGCUCAACGGGGUGAAGUGCCAUUGAUACUGCCUGGCUGGAAUGCGGAUGACGUGGGAGGAAUGUGUGGUGUAGCGGUGAAAUGCAUAGAUAUCACACAGAACACCGAUUGCGAAGGCAUCUCACGAGUCCGCGAUUGACGCUGAUGCACGAAAGCGUGGGUAUCAAACAGGAUUAGAUACCCCUGUAGUC
RNAcentral lists this ribosomal RNA (460 nucleotides) under uncultured bacterium. Its description in RNAcentral is "partial 16S ribosomal RNA". It matches the Rfam family "Bacterial small subunit ribosomal RNA", at positions 338 to 795 of the family's 1533-position model. The record is from RNAcentral.